Molecule: ribosomal RNA, 254 nt
Filed under: uncultured bacterium
Lineage: Bacteria
Description: partial 16S ribosomal RNA
Rfam family: Bacterial small subunit ribosomal RNA
Source: RNAcentral
UACGGAGGGGGCUAGCGUUGUUCGGAAUUACUGGGCGUAAAGCGCACGUAGGCGGCUUUGCAAGUUAGAGGUGAAAGCCCGGGGCUCAACUCCGGAAUUGCCUUUAAAACUGCAUCGCUAGAAUUGUGGAGAGGUAAGUGGAAUUCCGAGUGUAGAGGUGAAAUUCGUAGAUAUUCGGAAGAACAACCAGUGGCGAAGGCGACUUACUGGACACAUAUUGACGCUGAGGUGCGAAAGCGUGGGGAGCAAACAGG